AUUGUACGCUGGCGGCAUGCCUUACACAUGCAAGUCGAACGGCAGCACGGGUGCUUGCACCUGGUGCGAGUGGCGAAACGGGUGAGUAAUACAUCGGAAUGUACCUUGUAGUGGGGGAUAGCUCGGCGAAAGCCGGAUUAAUACCGCAUACGCUCUGAGGAGGAAAGCGGGGGACCUUCGGGCCUCGUGCUACAAGAGCAGCCGAUGUCAGAUUAGCUUGUUGGUGAGGUAAAAGCUCACCAAGGCGACGAUCUGUAGCUGGUCUGAGAGGACGACCAGCCACACUGGGACUGAGACACGGCCCAGACUCCUACGGGAGGCAGCAGUGGGGAAUUUUGGACAAUGGGCGAAAGCCUGAUCCAGCAAUGCCG
This 371-nucleotide ribosomal RNA is filed under the name uncultured Pandoraea sp. RNAcentral's name for it is "bacterial SSU rRNA". It matches the Rfam family "Bacterial small subunit ribosomal RNA", at positions 30 to 399 of the family's 1533-position model. The record is from RNAcentral. Lineage: Bacteria; Pseudomonadati; Pseudomonadota; Betaproteobacteria; Burkholderiales; Burkholderiaceae.